This is a non-coding RNA of Populus trichocarpa (black cottonwood), 130 nucleotides long. The record is from Rfam. NCBI's taxonomy places the organism in Eukaryota, Viridiplantae, Streptophyta, Magnoliopsida, Malpighiales, Salicaceae.
UAAUUUAUCUAGACUAAAUCCUCUUUUAAUUAUAACAAACUCGUAUUUAUCACUGCUAAGAAUAACUUAUUAUUGCAAGCCUGACUUCAUCACUUUCAUUAGAAUUAACUUCCUAAACUACUAAUAUUUU